UCUGUCUAGCUGUGAUCCAAGCGGGUUCAAGUGCCUGAAGAGCGUAUCCGCCGAAACAAAUAUGAUUGCCUCGACAAGAUAUUCCCUUCAUUCUUCCUCUAUGUUGUUUACGAAAUCUGGUUCUUUUGGGGUUAUAGUUGAUGGUUGUUUCUUAAUUCCAUCUCUAUUGCAGAACCGGACAUGAGAGUUUCUUCUCAUCCAGCUCCUCGCGAAUGAAACGAUUCAAUAAUAUUACAAUAUUACAGAUACACAUGUAUAAUUAUAAUAAUAUAAGUAAUUAUGAGUUAAUAAUAUAAGUAUAUAUAAGUUGAGUUAAUAAUAUAAGUAUAUAUAUAAGUAUAUAUAAGUAAUGAAUGGCAUUUAUUGAUAUUUAAUUUGUUACAUAUUUAAUUUGUUACAAAGGAAGAUGUAUAUACAAAAUAUACAGCUGGACGUGUAUAUUAUUAGAUAUAGAAAAUAUAAAAAAUGCUUCUUUUUUUAGAAUAUAACGUAUAAUAUAAUGAAUCCUUAUUUUGACCUCUAUCGAAUCGCGCCAAAAAUUGUAAUCCAAUAAAUAAAGGUUUCGCGGGCGAAUAUUGACUCUUUCAUUCGUAGGGUCAAUUCAUGACACCUCUCAGAAUAAAUCAAUUUUUUCUUGGUUCGUUCCGCCAUCCCACCCGAUGAAUUAUUAGGAUUCGUUUUCAAUAGAAUCCUAUGCAGUCACAGGUUUCGUCGUUCCCAUAGCUUCUCCAUUAAUGGUUAGGCCUGAACUCUGCAAUGGAGCUUCCGGCAAAAUUCGUUCCCGAGUCAAUCUCCUCAGUUUUUAUUAACCCGAGGCUCUUUAUUCUUUAUUAUUUAUUUAUUUAUUAUUUAUUUAUUUUAUUUAUUUUUUUUUUCUUUUUUUUUAUAUUUUAUUUAUUUAUAUUUCAUUUAUAUAUUUAUAUCAGUAUUGAUUAUAUCAGUAUUAAUGCUUUAUCACACUGCCUUUUAUGAGGUGAUUCAUAGACCAUACAUAUUGGAAUCAUAUAUCAUUGAUAUUUUUGUUCUCUCUUUCUAUCAUCCUUCCAUUUAUCCACAUCCCUUUAUUUUUGCUUCACAACCCAUAAUCAGAUUUCUUUUUUAUGGAAAAAAUUUCAGUUGCUACAACUAUAUGAUUGAUCCACCCAUAUAGUGACUGUUUCUUGGGAUUUUGACAAUACGAAGCAAUAAGUUGGUUAUUAAUUUAUAUGGUUACUAAGUUCAUAGUAGGGGUUAGUCUAUUUUUUUUUUUUUUUUUUUUGAAUCUCAACCCUAAACUCUAAAGAAAAACUAACGAGUCACACACUAAGCAUAGCAAUUAUACUAAAUUGUCAAUCGAAUUUUUAUUCAACCUUAUAGAAUUAGAAUUGUUCAUUUUUGUUUGAUUUAACAGAAAAAGAAUGAAACAGUUUGUAAUUUUUUUGUUCUAUCACUGGACAGAAUGGCAAGACAAAUGAAGGUCUAUUAUUUCUCGUUUAC
This 1476-nucleotide long non-coding RNA is filed under the name Elaeis guineensis (African oil palm). RNAcentral describes it as "long non-coding RNA (EGUI_LNC000002)". The record is from RNAcentral. Lineage: Eukaryota; Viridiplantae; Streptophyta; Magnoliopsida; Arecales; Arecaceae.